RNAcentral lists this ribosomal RNA (450 nucleotides) under uncultured Salinicoccus sp. RNAcentral's name for it is "bacterial SSU rRNA". It matches the Rfam family "Bacterial small subunit ribosomal RNA", at positions 354 to 796 of the family's 1533-position model. The record is from RNAcentral. Lineage: Bacteria; Bacillati; Bacillota; Bacilli; Caryophanales; Staphylococcaceae.
GUAGGGAAUCUUCCGCAAUGGACGCAAGUCUGACGGAGCAACGCCGCGUGAGUGAAGAAGGGUUUCGGCUCGUAAAACUCUGUUGUCAGGGAAGAACGUCCCCGUGAGUAACUGCACGGGGAGUGACGGUACCUGACCAGAAAGCCACGGCUAACUACGUGCCAGCAGCCGCGGUAAUACGUAGGUGGCAAGCGUUAUCCGGAAUUAUUGGGCGUAAAGCGCGCGUAGGCGGUUUCUUAAGUCUGAUGUGAAAGCCCCCGGCUCAACCGGGGAGGGUCAUUGGAAACUGGGGAACUUGAGUACAGAAGAGGAGAGUGGAAUUCCAUGUGUAGCGGUGAAAUGCGCAGAGAUAUGGAGGAACACCAGUGGCGAAGGCGGCUCUCUGGUCUGUAACUGACGCUGAUGUGCGAAAGCGUGGGGAUCAAACAGGAUUAGAAACCCCAGUAGUCC